This is a long non-coding RNA of Daphnia magna, 369 nucleotides long. RefSeq lists it as uncharacterized. NCBI's taxonomy places the organism in Eukaryota, Metazoa, Arthropoda, Branchiopoda, Diplostraca, Daphniidae. The record is from RefSeq and is a predicted model, not a curated record. The transcript has 2 exons.
UUUGCGCGCAGAGCAUUGGUGAACCUGGCACUCUUAAAGCCAAAUGACGCUAAAGACUUUUCGUUUUGCUUGUAUGGCAUCAAUGAGCAUCAUACCGACAGCUCCUUUGAUUAAGGAAACCAUUAACGCCUCAAAAGCAACCAGUGCACUUGUUAUGGAUGAUGAAUUUAUGUAUCACGUAAGCUAUAUAAACAAAUACUUUUAUGCUUACAAUGUUUUAUUUUCUUAAUAUAGAUUUAUAAUCAAAUUGGAUCUGGAUUCUGGUUAGAAGAAUAUACCGAAAGAUUAUAACGCCUGGAAGCACGGAAUGGAAUUUCAUAUUUGACUAGUAUUUCCGUGUGUUACGGUAUAAAUUAUUUAAAAAUUGAA